RNAcentral lists this ribosomal RNA (522 nucleotides) under Priestia flexa. RNAcentral describes it as "bacterial SSU rRNA". It matches the Rfam family "Bacterial small subunit ribosomal RNA", at positions 383 to 897 of the family's 1533-position model. Lineage: Bacteria; Bacillati; Bacillota; Bacilli; Caryophanales; Bacillaceae. The record is from RNAcentral.
CUGACGGAACACGCCGCGUGAGUGAUGAAGGCUUUCAGGUCGUAAAACUCUGUUGUUCGGGAAGAACAAGUACAAGAGUAACUGCUUGUACCUUGACGGUACCUAACCAGAAAGCCACGGCUAACUACGUGCCAGCAGCCGCGGUAAUACGUAGGUGGCAAGCGUUAUCCGGAAUUAUUGGGCGUAAAGCGCGCGCAGGCGGUUUCUUAAGUCUGAUGUGAAAGCCCACGGCUCAACCGUGGAGGGUCAUUGGAAACUGGGGAACUUGAGUGCAGAAGAGAAAAGCGGAAUUCCACGUGUAGCGGUGAAAUGCGUAGAGAUGUGGAGGAACACCAGUGGCGAAGGCGGCUUUUUGGUCUGUAACUGACGCUGAGGCGCGAAAGCGUGGGGAGCAAACAGGAUUAGAUACCCUGGUAGUCCACGCCGUAAACGAUGAGUGCUAAGUGUUAGAGGGUUUCCGCCCUUUAGUGCUGCAGCUAACGCAUUAAGCACUCCGCCUGGGGAGUACGUUCGCAAAGCUCC